Molecule: long non-coding RNA, 1041 nt
Organism: Drosophila yakuba
Lineage: Eukaryota; Metazoa; Arthropoda; Insecta; Diptera; Drosophilidae
Exons: 2
Source: RefSeq, a predicted model, not a curated record
UUCCGACUAUCAGAUACCCGUUACUCAGUUAGUGGAAGUGCUAACAAAAACCCCAGACCAGUUUGGCUCGGCUAUUGAUCCUGAUCAAGAAUAUAUAUACUUUAUAUGGAUACCCUAUUACUCUACGAGCAACGGGUUUUAUAACAGCACAAAAAGAGACAAUCAAGUAUAGCUUAAGUUCGAAUCCAAGCAUCAAGACUGAUUAUAGUUUUUUAUACAUUCCGAAUAGCGCAUCAACUUUAAGCUUUAAUUUUACCACAUAAGAGCAAACAGAGCAGCACUGCACUGCAGUCUCCGAUUUCAAAUCCCGCAGAGAAGCCCCAGGUCAGGAGCAAAAACUAUAACAAUAUCGGUGUGCCAUGGCAAUGGCUAUUGUAAUUAUGAAGUAACUCAAUAAACAGUUGGCAUAUUACUGUUUCGAGAAACUGCAUGCAAAUUGCAAUUAGUUUCUGUUUUGCAUUUGCCAUUAUUAUUGAAUUUGGUCUAAUGUGCAAAUAGCAUUGCAUUGGCCAUGGUCCAGUCCUCCAUCGUCAACCUGUAACUCAAUCAAUGGUCAAUGCGGUUAAAUUGCGGCGCACAAAGGGGACUUUAAGGGCUCGAUUCGACUCCACUCAUUAUUGAUUCACAAUGCACACACACAAACACAAACACACUCUUUUUGUUUUGCCAAUUAGGAUGGCAGUGGAGUUCCAACCGCUCCAACCACCGAUAUCACCUCAUUAUUGCUGCUAAAUCCAUGCGCAGACACAACGACUUCCGUUCUGGCCAGAAUGAAAUUUAUAAUGACAGCAAACAGCAAACAAACAAACAACCAAACAAACAAAUCAUGCCCCCAAAUCCUGUACCCUGCGAACAAUUAUGGCUAAAAGUUGAACGAUACAACUAAAAUGUAAUCAGCCAGGACCUCCACAACGUGCAUACAUAGCCAUGUCUGUGUCUUUGUUCCCGCCUUUGUUGGCCACUCGCCCUUAAUGCUUUUUUAGUAAAUAAUUUAUAUUCAAUUUUCAAAUAAAUUGCCAACAAAAAUAGUUAGCAAACAAA